GUCCGGAAUCCAUCUGCUGGAGAGGUUCGGAUGGGAUCCUGUUCUCGCGAGAGGUCGAGAGGGGACCAUCCAUUGUAGGAGCUCGGGCGAGGACCAGUUAUCGUGGAAGCUUGGAGUGGUGUCCCGUCAUAGUAGUUCGUCCAGAAUCCACUCGCUACGGAGUAGCUCGGCUGAAGUCCACCUGUAAUAGAAGUUCGAAAGAAAUUUAUUUAUAGUAGAGGCUUGAAUGAAAUUUGCUUACAGUAGUCAUCUGGGAUAGCCAGCCUGCGGU
This 271-nucleotide long non-coding RNA is filed under the name Elaeis guineensis (African oil palm). RNAcentral describes it as "long non-coding RNA (EGUI_LNC040387)". The record is from RNAcentral. Lineage: Eukaryota; Viridiplantae; Streptophyta; Magnoliopsida; Arecales; Arecaceae.